AACGCACCUUGCACUCUUUGGUAUUCCGAAGAGUAUGUCUGUUUGAGUGUCGUGAAACUCUCAACCCCCCUGUUUUGUAAUGAAACAGGCGUCUGGGCUUGGAUUGUGGCCGUCUGGCGGAUCUUUCAUUAGAACCGGCUCGGCUGAAAUACACGAGCUACCCAUCUUUGAAUAAUCGACGGCUUGACUCGGCGUAAUACUAUGUUUCGCUGAGGACGUCUCCCUUUCAAAACCAGUGGUGCUUCUAGUGCAACUUUCAUUUGACCUUUAGACCUCAAAUCAGUCAGGACUACCCGCUGAACUUAA
Molecule: unclassified non-coding RNA, 306 nt
Filed under: uncultured fungus
Lineage: Eukaryota; Fungi
Description: partial contains 5.8S ribosomal RNA, internal transcribed spacer 2, and large subunit ribosomal RNA
Rfam family: 5.8S ribosomal RNA (bases 1-52)
Source: RNAcentral